AGCUGUGAGUGGUGGCAGUAUUGUAGCCAGUGAGAUUUAUCCAAGGUAUAAUUAUUGCUAAUUGAAAACUAUUUCUAAUACCCUACCAUGAUGACUUGAAACUUAGUCAGCAUUGGCAAUUUUUGACAGUUUCUCCAGAGA
Otolemur garnettii (small-eared galago) is the source of this 141-nucleotide small nuclear RNA. Its record names the gene U4. It matches the Rfam family "U4 spliceosomal RNA". From Rfam's summary of the family: U4 small nuclear RNA (U4 snRNA) is a component of the major U2-dependent spliceosome. The structure of U4 snRNA from yeast and human has been reported. U4 snRNA presents a k-turn RNA motif in the 5p-SL related to recognition of Snu13 protein. The record is from Ensembl. NCBI's taxonomy places the organism in Eukaryota, Metazoa, Chordata, Mammalia, Primates, Galagidae.